This 1081-nucleotide ribosomal RNA is filed under the name Helicobacter pylori Iso6. RNAcentral describes it as "bacterial LSU rRNA". It matches the Rfam family "Bacterial large subunit ribosomal RNA", at positions 1 to 1102 of the family's 2925-position model. Lineage: Bacteria; Pseudomonadati; Campylobacterota; Epsilonproteobacteria; Campylobacterales; Helicobacteraceae. The record is from RNAcentral.
ACAAGCUUUUAAGAGCAGAUGGCGGAUGCCUUGCCAAAGAGAGGCGAUGAAGGACGUACUAGACUGCGAUAAGCUAUGCGGAGCUGUCAAGGAGCUUUGAUGCGUAGAUGUCCGAAUGGGGCAACCCAACUAAUAGAGAUAUUAGUUACUCUAAUUUAGAGAGCGAACCUAGUGAAGUGAAACAUCUCAGUAACUAGAGGAAAAGAAAUCAACGAGAUUCCCUAAGUAGUGGCGAGCGAACGGGGAAAAGGGCAAACCGAGUGCUUGCAUUCGGGGUUGAGGACUGCAACAUCCAAGAGAACGCUUUAGCAGAAUUACCUGGAAAGGUAAGCCAUAGAAAGUGAUAGCCUUGUAUGCGACAAGGCGUUCUUAGGUAGCAGUAUCCAGAGUAGGCCAGGACACGAGGAAUCCAGGUUGAAGCCGGGGAGACCACUCUCCAACCCUAAAUACUACUCUUUGAGCGAUAGCGAACAAGKACCGUGAGGGAAAGGUGAAAAGAACCGCAGUGAGCGGAGUGAAAUAGAACCUGAAACCAUCUGCUUACAAUCAUUCAGAGCCCUAUGAUUUAUCAGGGUGAUGGACUGCCUUUUGCAUAAUGAUCCUGCGRGUUGUGGUAUCUGGCAAGGUUAAGCGAAUGCGAAGCCGUAGCGAAAGCGAGUCUUAAUAGGGCGAACAAGUCAGAUGCUGCAGACCCGAAGCUAAGUGAUCUAUCCAUGGCCAAGUUGAAACGCGKGUAAUAGCGCGUGGAGGRCUGAACUCGUACCCAUUGAAACGGGUUGGGAUGAGCUGUGGAUAGGGGUGAAAGGCCAAACAAACUUAGUGAUAGCUGGUUCUCUUCGAAAUAUAUUUAGGUAUAGCCUCAAGUGAUAAUAAAAGGGGGUAGAGCCCUGAUUGGGCUAGGGCUGCUCGCCGCGGKACCAAACCCUAUCAAACUUCGAAUACCUUUUAUCGUAUCUUGGGAGUCAGGCGGUGGGUGAUAAAAUCAAUCGUCAAAAGGGGAACAACCCAGACUACCAAAUAAGGUCCCUAAGUUCUAUUCUGAGUGGAAAAAGAUGUGUGGCUACUCAAACAACCAGGAGGU